This 370-nucleotide ribosomal RNA is filed under the name uncultured eukaryote. RNAcentral's name for it is "partial 18S ribosomal RNA". It matches the Rfam family "Eukaryotic small subunit ribosomal RNA", at positions 592 to 976 of the family's 1831-position model. The record is from RNAcentral.
CAAUAGCGUAUAUUAAAGUUGUUGCAGUUAAAAAGCUCGUAGUUGGACCUUGGACCUGGACAGGCGGUCCGCCUCACGGCGUGUACUGUCUUGCUGGGUCUUUCCUCUUGGUGAUCUGUUGUUUCGGCAGCAGGGAACCAGGACUUUUACUUUGAAAAAAUUAGAGUGUUCAAAGCAGGCUCGACGCCGGAAUAUAUUAGCAUGGAAUAAUAAAAUAGGACGUGCGGUUCUAUUUUGUUGGUUUUUGGAAUCGCCGUAAUGAUUAAUAAGGACAGUCGGGGGCAUUAGUACUCACAUGCUAGAGGUGAAAUUCUUGGAUUUUGUGAAGACUAACUUCUGCGAAAGCAUUUGCCAAGGAUGUUUUCAUUAA